RNAcentral lists this long non-coding RNA (375 nucleotides) under Olea europaea subsp. europaea. Lineage: Eukaryota; Viridiplantae; Streptophyta; Magnoliopsida; Lamiales; Oleaceae. The record is from RNAcentral.
AUUUUUGAACUCAAUAAUUUUACUGAAUCAGCUCAACCAAGUUGUAUUGCUCGCGACUGGGUACAGUUCCUGCGACUAAAUUUUUUGAUUUAUCAACCUCGCAGAAUCAUAACCAAAGAGCAGAGAGUCUGCUGCAGAAAUUGGAGGAGUUUGUGGUGAAAGACGAGACACUGUGUCAUUAGCUCCCUUUCCAUGGCUCUCUGUUGUAUCAUUUUACAUCUUAUAAGAUAAUACACCUUCAUUAUUUUGUUAAUACAAGAUCUGCAUGUUUGUAGAUCAUGCCUAAAAGCAUAUAAAAGUGAAUUUUUCUCACAUGCAUUUAAUCAAACACUAAAACUACCUAUUUCAAUUCUUUGUAAGGUGGACACGAGUGGA